CCUACGGGUGGCAGCAGUAGGGAAUAUUGCUCAAUGGGGGAAACCCUGAAGCAGCCACGCCGCGUGGAGGAUGACGGCUCUCUGAUUGUUAACUCCUUUUUUUCGAGAAGCUAAUGACGGUAUCUAUCCCAUACUCCGCGGGUAACUCCGGGCCAGCAGCGGUGGGUAUAUGGCGGGUGCAAGCGUUAAUCGGAAUCAGUGGGCGUAAAGCGGGUGUAGGGGGGAUAGCGAGUCAGAUGUGAAUUCCUAGGGCUUAACCACAGAAGAGCAUUUGAAACUGUUAUUCUAGAGUAGGGGAGAGGUAGGUGGAAGGCGUGGUGUAGGGGUAAAAUCCGUAGAGAUCAAGAGGAAUACUCAUUGCGAAGGCGACCUGCUAGAACAUGACUGACGCUGAUGCGCGAAAGCGUGGGGAGCGAACAGGAUUAGAUACCCGGGUAGUC
RNAcentral lists this ribosomal RNA (440 nucleotides) under uncultured bacterium. RNAcentral describes it as "partial 16S ribosomal RNA". It matches the Rfam family "Bacterial small subunit ribosomal RNA", at positions 338 to 795 of the family's 1533-position model. The record is from RNAcentral.